Molecule: long non-coding RNA, 519 nt
Organism: Clupea harengus (Atlantic herring)
Lineage: Eukaryota; Metazoa; Chordata; Actinopteri; Clupeiformes; Clupeidae
Gene: ccdc85ca
Exons: 3
Source: RefSeq, a predicted model, not a curated record
CCUCUACCCGCAGGGUUCUGGUCACAUUCCCGCCGCAGAGCUGACCUCCUCCUCCACCCCCUACCUGCCUCCUCCUGCACAGAAGCCCGAGGCUGUGGUCCACGCCAUGAAGGUCCUUGAGGUGCACGAGAACCUGGACAGACAGAUCCCUGAAGAUUAUGAGGAAGACCUGAGUGAAAAAGAGAAGGCCAUUGUCAGAGAGAUGUGUAAUGUGGUGUGGCGUAAGCUGGGGGAUGCAACAGGCUCUAAGCCCUCCAUCCGGCAGCACCUCUCUGGGAACCAGUUCAAAGGACCUUUGUAGCCGCGGCAUCAGCCAGCACCCAGGGUCUAAAGCAAACAAGCAACCCAGUAAACAAAGCGGGAGACACCAGCAGCUGCCUCCUGCACAGGCAAAGGCUUUCCUAGGAAGAUCACCAAGCAGACAAACUGCUUGCAUCGCUCUUUCCUCAACUCAAGUCGUGUCAUAUCCUGUUUUCUUCCUUCCCCUUAAGCUUCAAAGUAAUCAUCACAAAACACAAA